Molecule: long non-coding RNA, 1171 nt
Filed under: Nicotiana benthamiana
Lineage: Eukaryota; Viridiplantae; Streptophyta; Magnoliopsida; Solanales; Solanaceae
Description: long non-coding RNA (NBEN_LNC012322)
Source: RNAcentral
CCUCACCCUCCCUCUAUCUCUAUCUUGUUUUUUCGCCGGCCAACUCUAUCUCCGGCCCUUCUCUUCUUUUUUCAUCCUUUUUUUUCUAAACCUUUAUCUAUUUAGAACUCUCUGUCUGUUCUUUGUUUUCCUCGUCAACACCACCACACACCAUUUUCCUUCAAUGAAAUAUUUUUUUUAAUUUUAUUCAAGUGUAAAUUAUAUUUUAGAUUUGAAAUACUCUCGCCCUACUAUUAGAAUUAUUUAGUUGGGAUUUAUGUUGUUGAUUUGAAAUUCAAAUGGGUUCUUGAAAUUGAGCAAAUAUUUACAAGCUUAGAGUAUAGCAAUUCAAAUUAUAUGGGGCUUAUACUCAUUCUUUUCUUCUCUCUUUUUGUUUGAAUAUGAAAAUGCUAUUUCUAUGGUGGUGGAUUUGGGUGAGAAGGAGUCUGAUCUUUUGCUCGAAAAUGGUGGAUGGUUGUCAUGUUUUAUGUGGCAGCCAUAAAUUUUGAAAAUGGAAUAAAAAUUUAUUAUUUUUGGUGAAAAUGAAAGUUUCUUUUUUUGUGUUUAUCAUUUUGGUGAUUGAAAAUACAAGGUUUCUGGUUUUGCUUUGACAGGGUUUUCCAACGACUAAGAUGAAAAAGAUGGAGCAUCGUUUUUAAGUAUUUUCCUUUUAUUUUAAAUUGAUAACACAUGUUAGAAUCUUAUUGGUGCAUGGUACAUACUUAUUGAGAAAAAUUGAUCAAAUACUAAAGUGAUGUGUAUUAGACACACUUUUAAAAAUUGAGUGUGUAAUAUUAUUUUUUCCCAAAAAAAAUAUGUAACAAAUAUUCAAGUUUCAACUUAUGUUUUUAAGCUUAUCUUUUUGUUUGAUAUCUUUCGUUAUACACUACUUUUGUGAAGGAUCCUUCAAGUUUAGUAGACAAAGAAAUAUAAGAGGAAGGACAUAUGUUAAUUUUAAAUGCUCAAAGGGAACUGAGAAGAAUGAUGUAUCUGUAAUUUUCACAUGGUCAAAGGAAGUCAAAUAGCUUGAACAACCAAUUGGUAAUAUAGUUACAAAACCAUGUUCACAUUUGCUUAACAUUUUCAUAGCAACUUCUUAUGUGAGAUAAAGACUAGCUAUUACUUCCUCCAUUCAAUUAACAUGGCACCAUAGAAAAUCGAGGAUCAAACUAAUUUUUAAAGAAUUUAAAUU